CAUUCUUCUAAAAACUAUUAAUUAAAAUAAUCAAAUUUAAGUUAAUAAAAUAACUUUCCCCCCUCCAUUCUCUUUUAACGGCUAAACAAUUGUCUAUAUCACAGGCCCUGAGCUCCUCGCCUCUCUCUCUCUCUCUCCCCCCCCUACUGUAACAAUCCGGCCCAUCUCCACCAUACCCGGCCCAGUUCCAGGCCCACUAUCAAACCCCCUCUCUUCCCAAAUCCUCUCUCAUUCCAAAUUCUGCUCCAUCACUUUUACAAUCUACGAUGGAAGGGUGCCUUCAAUCUUUGGAUUUUGACAGUGCAUAUAAGAUGUUUGACGAAAUGGCAAAGAGAAAUGUGGUUUGUGGGAGCAUGUUGUUCUCUUGGUCUGUGAGUUGUGGUUAAUUGGAGGAAGCAUUUGGAGCAGUAUAAGUUGGUGCAAGUUGUACUUUGGGAAUCUUGACGUGUUUUCUUGGAAUUCGAUAAUCGAUGUGUACGAUAAACACGGAGACAUGAGGCUGGAGGUUUGUUGGAUUCUACAUCGAUGGCGCAAAGUUGGCCAAAGGAGGUGCUUGAUCAAGCUGGAUUUCUCGAAGUCAACAUGGACAAUGUAUGUCGGGCUUUACUGUUCAACUUAAUUUCUGCAGCCAAAAGGUCUCAAGCAAGGUGAUCCUCUCUCCUGUCAAUUCUGUUCAUUUUUCAGGUUGAUAUUGAUACGGGUCGAAAUGUCAUCUUGGAAUCACAUCUGUUUGCGAGGGAAUGUUUCGAAUAAACCCAAAAGCUGAGAACGACCAGGUAGUUCGUGACUCAAAAAGACCUACCUGUUGUAAAGAGAAACGACAAGCCCCCAUCGAUCACUCUCGCGCUCAGACCUACAAGCCGUCCGUCCACUUGCUUCAGACCGUCGCCCGCUGGCCAAAGAUCCGUCGCUCGCUCAACCAACAUUGAGAUCUGCUGCCCUUCGCCUCCUCUCCUUGUCAUCAGCCACCAUGCCACCAGAUUCCGAUUCCGAACCAAAUCAGAGAUGAACCAAAUUGUCUUCCUCUCCAAUUCCGAAGUCGGCAUCAGGUUGUCUCAUGGCAAGAUUAGGGGAAUAUGUAGACAAUGAUAUUUUUCGUGCAAAUGAAGAAAUAGAAAAGACGACGCAAGAGAGUCAGCCACAUGAAGAUGAACAUCUAGAAGAAAACUUGAGUCACAUAUCAUGUAUUGAUGAACCGAAGAUCGGUAUGAUGUUCAAAAGUUUGGAGGAAGCAAUGAAUUAUUAUAGUGCUUAUGCACUAUUCAUUGA
This is a long non-coding RNA of Asparagus officinalis (garden asparagus), 1269 nucleotides long. RefSeq lists it as uncharacterized. Lineage: Eukaryota; Viridiplantae; Streptophyta; Magnoliopsida; Asparagales; Asparagaceae. The transcript is spliced from 4 exons. The record is from RefSeq and is a predicted model, not a curated record.